RNAcentral lists this ribosomal RNA (400 nucleotides) under uncultured bacterium. Its description in RNAcentral is "bacterial SSU rRNA". It matches the Rfam family "Bacterial small subunit ribosomal RNA", at positions 358 to 774 of the family's 1533-position model. The record is from RNAcentral.
GGAAUAUUGGGCAAUGGGGGAAACCCUGACCCAGCAAUGCCGCGUGAAGGAUGAAGGUCUUCGGAUUGUAAACUUCUUUGAUUGGGGAAGAAUAAAUGACCUACCCAAAGAACAAGUCACGGCUAACUACGUGCCAGCAGCCGCGGUAAUACGUAGGUGACAAGCGUUAUCCGGAUUUACUGGGUGUAAAGGGCGUGUAGGCGGCUUUGCAAGUCAGAUGUGAAAUUCCCGAGCUCAACUUGGGCGCUGCAUCUGAAACUGCAGAACUUGAGUGCUGGAGAGGAAAGCGGAAUUCCUAGUGUAGCGGUAAAAUGCGCAGAUAUUAGGAGGAACACCGGUGGCGAAGGCGGCUUUCUGGACAGUAACUGACGCUGAGGCGCGAAAGCGUGGGGAGCAAACA